This 721-nucleotide long non-coding RNA is filed under the name Coffea arabica (coffee). RNAcentral describes it as "long non-coding RNA (CARA_LNC003263)". Lineage: Eukaryota; Viridiplantae; Streptophyta; Magnoliopsida; Gentianales; Rubiaceae. The record is from RNAcentral.
CAACCAAACAUCGAAAUACAUAUACAACAUAACAUUAAACAUUUACAAGCCACAAUGGCAUUUAAAAGUGAUACAAAAGUCACUACAUAUGUGGUUUGCCAAAACAAAAGUGAAAACGGCCCUAAUGAUACAUUUAGGGUCCCAUUUUAUAUACAAUACCAAAGAGUCAUUUAUCUAGUUCAUUCGGCAACCAUUUAUCAAAAUUCUUUCCAAAAGAGUCAUAAUCCUGUAAGGAAAACAAAAGGAACGGGGUGAGCUAAUUGCCCAGUGAGAAUACAACUCAAGCCACCAAGUUCAUAGAUGCAUCAAGUUGAACAGUCCAAUUGACCAAAAAUAAGUAAAGCCACACAUUAAGAAUGAGGAUAAAGGAUACGGGUGGCUCUCAAGAGCCCUUUUCCUCGUUUGCAUUCUUGAUCGGAUCUCAUUGACUCUCCGUCAAUGUUUGAAAGUAACCAACCGUAGACUUCACUUAACUUCCAUUCCCUUCCUCCUAACAUUCCUCAACCGGGCCCGAAAUCCAAACGCAUGCAUUGUGGUAUUACUCGAGUAAACCGGAAUCAAGAGUCUCUCAUACUACAAGAUUCCAUAUAACGUUGCCCAAGGUACAUUAAUUGGCACGACCAAACCCUCGCCGGCUCGAUUCAAUCAAUUUCCAAUGGGAUUGAGCUCAUGGAUAAUAUUUGAAGUCAUUGAUAACAUUGAUAACAUUUGUAUUUCAUUU